GGACUACUGGGGUUUCUAAUCCUGUUUGCUCCCCACGCUCUCGCGCCUCAGCGUCAAUCUUCGUCCAGGCGGUCGCCUUCGCCACCGGUGUUCCUCCCAAUAUCUACGAAUUUCACCUCUACACUGGGAAUUCCACCACCCUCUCCGAGAUUCAAGUCCUGUAGUUUCGGAUGCACUUCCAAGGUUGAGCCCUGGGCUUUCACAUUCGACUUACAGGACCGCCUACGCGCCCUUUACGCCCAAUAAUUCCGAACAACGCUUGCACCCUCUGUAUUACCGCGGCUGCUGGCAC
This 292-nucleotide ribosomal RNA is filed under the name uncultured bacterium. Its description in RNAcentral is "partial 16S ribosomal RNA". The record is from RNAcentral.